CGGGGCGUGGCGCAGGCUGGUAGCGCGACUGGUUUGGGACCAGUAGGUCGCAGGUUCGAAUCCUGUCGCCCCGA
This 74-nucleotide transfer RNA is filed under the name Rubripirellula tenax. It matches the Rfam family "tRNA". Rfam says of the family: Transfer RNA (tRNA) molecules are approximately 80 nucleotides in length. Their secondary structure includes four short double-helical elements and three loops (D, anti-codon, and T loops). Lineage: Bacteria; Pseudomonadati; Planctomycetota; Planctomycetia; Pirellulales; Pirellulaceae. The record is from Rfam by way of RNAcentral.